GGUCCUGUGGCCUAAUGGAUAAGGCGUCGGUCUCCUAAACCGAAGACUGCAGGUUCGAGUCCUGCCAGGAUCG
This is a non-coding RNA of Pristionchus pacificus, 73 nucleotides long. NCBI's taxonomy places the organism in Eukaryota, Metazoa, Nematoda, Chromadorea, Rhabditida, Neodiplogasteridae. The record is from Rfam.